RNAcentral lists this transfer RNA (73 nucleotides) under Bos taurus (domestic cattle). It matches the Rfam family "tRNA". Rfam says of the family: Transfer RNA (tRNA) molecules are approximately 80 nucleotides in length. Their secondary structure includes four short double-helical elements and three loops (D, anti-codon, and T loops). Further hydrogen bonds mediate the characteristic L-shaped molecular structure. tRNAs have two regions of fundamental functional importance: the anti-codon, which is responsible for specific mRNA codon recognition, and the 3' end, to which the tRNAs corresponding amino acid is attached (by aminoacyl-tRNA synthetases). tRNAs cope with the degeneracy of the genetic code in two manners: having more than one tRNA (with a specific anti-codon) for a particular amino acid; and 'wobble' base-pairing, i.e. permitting non-standard base-pairing at the 3rd anti-codon position. Lineage: Eukaryota; Metazoa; Chordata; Mammalia; Artiodactyla; Bovidae. The record is from Rfam by way of RNAcentral. RNAcentral also lists the same sequence under 3 other names.
UCCCUGGUGGUCCAGUGGUUAAGACUCUGCCCUUCCACUGCAGAGGACAAGAGUUCGAUCCCUGGUCAGGGAA